UACGUAGGGUGCAAGCGUUACUCGGAAUUACUGGGCGUAAAGCGUGCGCAGGCGGUUAUGUAAGCCAGUUGGGAAAUCCCCGGGCUCAACCUGGGAACUGCAUCUGUGACUGCAUAGCUAGAGUACGGUAGAGGGGGAUGGAAUUCCGCGUGUAGCAGUGAAAUGCGUAGAUAUGCGGAGGAACACCGAUGGCGAAGGCAAUCCCCUGGACCUGUACUGACGCUCAUGCACGAAAGCGUGGGGAGCAAACAGG
Molecule: ribosomal RNA, 253 nt
Filed under: uncultured bacterium
Lineage: Bacteria
Description: partial 16S ribosomal RNA
Rfam family: Bacterial small subunit ribosomal RNA
Source: RNAcentral